UCCAAAAGUUCGAGUGGAAUUUGAAUCAUUUCUUUCCAUUUUCCUCUCCAUCUCUUUUCUAGCUAGCUAUCUAUCUCUCUUAAUCCCACUCUCUCUUCAUUCUAAAAUGAUUUUAUAAUGAGAGACUGAGAGUAAGAUUAAGGGAGAGAUCGAGAGUUAGGAGAGGAAUGGAGAGAUAAAUGAAAGCAGAGGGUCCAAUUUGGUUCACGUCAAUGGACUCAAACUCUCCACUUAUAAACAACGUAACUUCCUUGCUCUCAUCUAUGUAUGACUUCUGAAUUUCCAACAAUUUUAGAAGGGUAAAACCAAGCUUGAAAUUGAUGAAAACAAGUAGAGGUUUAUGCAACAAUUCACUAUAUUUUAGAGAAUGACUCGUGAAUCCUAAGUAAGAAUCAAUUGGAGGUUUUAAUACUAUUGUAUUCCAUCUCUUUCUACGCUUAAAUACUGUGUUCCAUGUUACUUAAUUUUCCAAUAAUCUGGUGUUUUUGACAGGUCUAGCAAUUAAUUAUGCACUGACCGUUCUUUGUUUUCCUUACCAGUAUUGAUUUUUUUUUGUCUUCAAUUCUUGCUUGUUAUUUCUUUUGAAAACAGGGAAAGUUGCAUUACCUCCUCAAUAUGAGCUGAAAGUGGCCUCACUUAUAAGUUACUAUAUUCGUGUCAUUAAUCAUUCUAGUUGUUAGUUCAUGCUUUACACAUGUUACGAGAUUUGUAGAAUGAAUCAGAUUCAUCAUCAUCUCAGAAUCACACUUGGAAAAGAAUGAAAGGGUGAAAAUUUGAGCAUGGAGGUGUAACCAAAUGCUUACUGUGCUGGUUAAGUUAUAAAUCCACAAUUUGAUCAUGGAGACGUAAACAAAUGCUUAUUAUACAGGUUGAGUUGUAAGUACAAAGUGUAAAGACAUGAGUUAAAAUAAUGCAGAUGCCUGGUCAGGUGUAGAGGCAAAAUUUUGAGCUAUAGCAUUAGACAUGAGUUAUUGUGGAAUGAGAUUAUAUUGGAUGAUUCAAUGAUUGAGUAUGAAGACCCUAUUAAGUGUUUUAUGGAAAUAUACUAGCAUGACCAUUGCUCAUAAUAAAUGAAUUAAUUAAAUAUGUUGAAAUAGACCAAUACUUCACUUAAUGAGUAGCUGAAUAGUGGAGUGUUAACCUUAGCAUAUGUUCCUACUAGCUGAAAUAUGUAAU
This 1176-nucleotide long non-coding RNA is filed under the name Medicago truncatula (barrel medic). RNAcentral's name for it is "lncRNA gene31679". Lineage: Eukaryota; Viridiplantae; Streptophyta; Magnoliopsida; Fabales; Fabaceae. The record is from RNAcentral.